Molecule: long non-coding RNA, 1406 nt
Filed under: Oryctolagus cuniculus (rabbit)
Lineage: Eukaryota; Metazoa; Chordata; Mammalia; Lagomorpha; Leporidae
Description: lncRNA (ENSOCUG00000036461.1)
Source: RNAcentral
AUAAAAUUUUAUGGUGAGCAUACCUUUAGUUAUGCAUAUUCUAACCUCAAUAGAUAUUCUCUUUAACAAAGAUAAUUCUACAAUAUACACAAAGUCCACAGUUAGUCUAUUUAGAUUAUUUUCUCCUAAAAACUUGUUUUAAUGAAAUAUUUACAGGAAACUUGAAGUUCAAUAGCUUGAUCCAUUAAAGCAAAUUAAUUAUCAAAAGAUAGAAAAUGAGCAUAAAAGUGAACUUCAUGAAAAUGACAACCCUAAAAAAAAUUGUUUUUGUAAAGAGCCAAUCAGAUAGUGGCAGGAGAAGCCUCUGGGGCUUCUUCCUAAGACUUCACAAAUGUGCUGCGAAGCUAUGCCUACCCUUUAAGAGACCUGACACUUGACAUUUUCCCAGGUUAUAAGUAAUUUGGGUAAUAAAGCUGUAGGGAAAUUGAACUUGUCAGCAUGUUAAAUGCAUUUGUCUCUCUGAGCAAAAUAAACUAUGCUGGUGGAAUGGAUGAUAACCAUAGGCACAUUUUUCUGAUUUAUCAGUGAGGUAUUUAAACUGCUUUUUUCAAAUUUUUAUUUACUUCCUUUAUUUGUUACCCUUGCGUCAAAUUCAAAAACUUUAUUACACAUAAACUUUCUUUACAAUGUUUGACUAGAGCCUUAGAGAUGGAAUGAGAAAAUUUUGUAGUUAUUUGAAUUCAGAGUUUGCGUUCUUGCUGCCAUGGAUUUAUUCAGUGCCUCCUAGCAUUUCUGUUUUGAUAGAAGUUUUACUUUUCAUAUUGUGGUAUAUUUUGUUAACCGAUAUGUUUUGUCUGAAUCACAGUUUCAAAUGGCAUUCAAGGGUACGCCACUUGAAUAUCAGGUGCGGUAGUAAGAUGAGCAUUUGGAGAGGGUGUUUGCAAAAGUUUCCAUUUUGCCUGAACACUGAAGGAAAACCAAACUGACGCUGGCAUCGUGGGAGGAGCAGUGAUCCUGCUCACUUGUAUGGCGUGUGGAAUGAAGGUGCCUCCAUGAAUGAAGGUGUCUCAUCCUCACUGUAAGCCUGGAUGCAGGUACUAUCAUUAUUCCCAUUUUCAUAGGUGAGACGCUUGAGGCAUGCGGGAGCUAAGGAUCUGGCCUAAGUUUACACAGCCAGUGAGCGGAGGCUGGAAUUCAAAUCCACGAUAGUGAUGCCAAAUUAAGGCCCCUUACCCCAGGCUGGAUCACUCCCGAUUUGUGUCCUCCAUAUACAGCACAAAGGUACUAGAGCUGCUCACGGUGCUUCAGAAAGCCCAUGGGGAAGUGGAACUAUCAGUUUAUUUUCAUGCAGAAAAAAAAUCUUUGAAGCCAUGUAUAUGAGGAGUCUUCAAAAACUCAUGGAAAAUGUGUUCUGAAAUAAUGCAUGAAUUUUUUUGUAUCAAAAUAAAUUGUAAUUCCAUUUCUCA